GAUGAACGCUGGCGGCGUGCCUAAUACAUGCAAGUCGAGCGAACAGAUGAGGAGCUUGCUCCUCUGACGUUAGCGGCGGACGGGUGAGUAACACGUGGAUAACCUACCUAUAAGACUGGGAUAACUUCGGGAAACCGGAGCUAAUACCGGAUAAUAUAUUGAACCGCAUGGUUCAAUAGUGAAAGACGGUUUUGCUGUCACUUAUAGAUGGAACCGCGCCGCAUUAGCUAGUUGGUAAGGUAACGGCUUACCAAGGCAACGAUGCGUAGCCGACCUGAGAGGGUGAUCGGCCACACUGGAACUGAGACACGGUCCAGACUCCUACGGGAGGCAGCAGUAGGGAAUCUUCCGCAAUGGGCGAAAGCCUGACGGAGCAACGCCGCGUAAGUGAUGAAGGUCUUCGGAUCGUAAAACUCUGUUAUUAGGGAAGAACAAAUGUGUAAGUAACUAUGCACGUCUUGACGGUACCUAAUCAGAAAGCCACGGCUAACUACGUG
This 497-nucleotide ribosomal RNA is filed under the name uncultured bacterium. RNAcentral's name for it is "partial 16S ribosomal RNA". It matches the Rfam family "Bacterial small subunit ribosomal RNA", at positions 28 to 507 of the family's 1533-position model. The record is from RNAcentral.